GUGCCAGCAGCCGCGGUAAUACGGAGGGCGCAAGCGUUGUUCGGAAUUACUGGGCGUAAAGCGCGUGUAGGCGGUCUAGCAAGUCGGUUGUGAAAUCCCCGGGCUCAACCCGGGAACUGCAUCCGAAACUGCUGGGCUAGAGUUUCGGAGAGGAAGGCAGAAUUCCCAAUGUAGGGGUGAAAUCCGUAGAUAUUGGGAGGAAUACCAGUGGCGAAGGCGGCCUUCUGGACGAUGACUGACGCUGAGACGCGAAAGCGUGGGGAGCAAACAGGAUUAGAAACCCCGGUAGUCC
RNAcentral lists this ribosomal RNA (292 nucleotides) under uncultured bacterium. Its description in RNAcentral is "partial 16S ribosomal RNA". It matches the Rfam family "Bacterial small subunit ribosomal RNA", at positions 505 to 796 of the family's 1533-position model. The record is from RNAcentral.